GAUCCUGGCUCAGGACGAACGCUGGCGGCGUGCCUAACACAUGCAAGUCGAACGGAGAAUUUUAUUUCGGUAGAAUUCUUAGUGGCGAACGGGUGAGUAACGCGUAGGCAACCCGCCCUUUGGACGGGGACAACAUUCCGAAAGGAGUGCUAAUACCGGAUGUGAUCAUCUUGCCGCAUGGCAGGAUGAAGAAAGAUGGCCUCUACAAGUAAGCUAUCGCUAAAGGAUGGGCCUGCGUCUGAUUAG
Molecule: ribosomal RNA, 246 nt
Filed under: uncultured bacterium
Lineage: Bacteria
Description: partial 16S ribosomal RNA
Rfam family: Bacterial small subunit ribosomal RNA
Source: RNAcentral